AUGUUUUCCUCUCGGUCUCGUGCUCGCACCGUCAAUAUCAGGAUGGCCAUGGCCAACAUGCAAAAGGGAAACAUGUCUGCUGCAGACUAUUUCUCCAAGAUGAAGGCCCUUGCGGAUGAACUUGCAUCUGCAGGGAAGAGGAUUGACGAUGACGACCUGAUUUCUUAUCUAUUGGCAGGUCUGGACGUCGAAUACAAUCCAUUGGUGGCAUCGGUUCUUGGGAGACCCACAACAGAUCCAAUUACUCUCAAUGAAUUCUAUGCUCGGCUCCUUAGCUAUGACACACGCAUGGAUAUUCUCCACUCUGGGGGCGCCGGUGGCCCUGGAUUUCAAGUCAAUUUUGCUCGCCGAGGACGUGGCGGGUUUGGACAGCGUGGUCGUGCAGGAGGGCGUGCAGGAGGCCGUGGUGGUCGUACUGCACACCGCGGUGCAGGAGGCCGCGGAGGAGGCCGCGGUGGCUACGGUCGUGGCUAUCAGGGAGAAUCCACUGUGAUUUGUCAAGUCUGCUCCAAGCCCAAUCAUAGUGCCCAAGAUUGCUGGUACCGGUUUGAUCCUGACUACGUACCUGAUGAAACUCGUCAAGUUGGUUCUGCAAUAACGUCUUAUGGGAUUGACACAAACUGGUACCUUGACUCCGGAGCCAGGGGAGCUCGACAAAUUAACUACUCGAGAACGAUACAACGGCCACGACAAGGUUCAUACCACAAACGGAGCAGGUAUGGAAAUUAG
This 729-nucleotide ribosomal RNA is filed under the name Triticum aestivum (bread wheat). RNAcentral's name for it is "partial small subunit ribosomal RNA". The stretch from base 139 to 283 matches the Rfam family "Small nucleolar RNA Z247". Lineage: Eukaryota; Viridiplantae; Streptophyta; Magnoliopsida; Poales; Poaceae. The record is from RNAcentral.